RNAcentral lists this ribosomal RNA (441 nucleotides) under Klebsiella quasipneumoniae. RNAcentral's name for it is "partial 23S ribosomal RNA". It matches the Rfam family "Bacterial large subunit ribosomal RNA", at positions 104 to 585 of the family's 2925-position model. Lineage: Bacteria; Pseudomonadati; Pseudomonadota; Gammaproteobacteria; Enterobacterales; Enterobacteriaceae. The record is from RNAcentral. RNAcentral also lists the same sequence under 1 other name.
CCGGCGAUGUCCGAAUGGGGAAACCCAGUGCAAUUCGUUGCACUAUCGUUAACUGAAUACAUAGGUUAACGAGGCGAACCGGGGGAACUGAAACAUCUAAGUACCCCGAGGAAAAGAAAUCAACCGAGAUUCCCCCAGUAGCGGCGAGCGAACGGGGAGCAGCCCAGAGUCUGAAUCAGCUUGUGUGUUAGUGGAACGGUCUGGAAAGUCCGACGGUACAGGGUGAUAGUCCCGUACACCAAAAUGCACAGGCUGUGAACUCGAAGAGUAGGGCGGGACACGUGGUAUCCUGUCUGAAUAUGGGGGGACCAUCCUCCAAGGCUAAAUACUCCUGACUGACCGAUAGUGAACCAGUACCGUGAGGGAAAGGCGAAAAGAACCCCGGCGAGGGGAGUGAAAAAGAACCUGAAACCGUGUACGUACAAGCAGUGGGAGCACCUU